AUUGAACGCUGGCGGCAUGAUUUACACAUGCAAGUCGAACGGUAACAGGCCGCAAGGUGCUGACGAGUGGCGAACGGGUGAGUAAUGCAUCGGAACGUGCCCAGUCUUGGGGGAUAACUACUCGAAAGAGUAGCUAAUACCGCAUACGAUCUAUGGAUGAAAGCGGGGGACCGUAAGGCCUCGCGCGAUUGGAGCGGCCGAUGUCAGAUUAGGUAGUUGGUGGGGUAAAGGCUCACCAAGCCAACGAUCUGUAGCUGGUCUGAGAGGACGACCAGCCACACUGGGACUGAGACACGGCCCAGACUCCUACGGGAGGCAGCAGCGGGGAAUUUUGGACAAUGGGCGCAAGCCUGAUCCAGCAAUGCCGCGUGCAGGAAGAAGGCCUUCGGGUUGUAAACUGCUUUUGUACGGAACGAAACGGCUCUGGUUAAUACCCGGGGCUAAUGACGGUACCGUAAGAAUAAGCACCGGCUAACUACGUG
This 482-nucleotide ribosomal RNA is filed under the name uncultured bacterium. RNAcentral's name for it is "partial 16S ribosomal RNA". It matches the Rfam family "Bacterial small subunit ribosomal RNA", at positions 30 to 507 of the family's 1533-position model. The record is from RNAcentral.